RNAcentral lists this ribosomal RNA (3840 nucleotides) under Candidatus Parcubacteria bacterium. RNAcentral describes it as "23S ribosomal RNA". It matches the Rfam family "Bacterial large subunit ribosomal RNA". Lineage: Bacteria; Candidatus Parcubacteria. The record is from RNAcentral.
AACAAGGGCAUACGGUGGAUGCCUAGGCUCAAGGUGGCGAUGAAGGACGUGGCAAGGCUACGAUAAGCGUCGGGGAGGUGCCAAGCAACCUGCGAUCCGGCGAUUUCCGAAUGGGGAAACCCACCCAAUCGAAAGGUUGGGUAUCCAUAGGGUCACGCCUAUGGAGGCAAACCCGGGGAAGUGAAACAUCUCAGUACCCGGAGGAAAAGAGACCAACAAAGUGGUGUCCCUUUCUGUCCCGCCCUUACGGGGCAGAGAGGAGCACCACUGCGGCAUUUCCUUAGUAGCGGCGAGCGAAAGGGAAGGAGCCCAAACCAAGGAAGGCUUCGGCCACCCUUGGGGUUGUAGGAUAGCAAUGUCCCUUCGGGGAGGGGAGUGAGAAAGAAACAGGUAAGCAGAACCACCUGGAAAGGUGAGCCAGAGAGGGUGAUAGCCCCGUACGCGAAUACCUGUUUCCUCCCUUGUUGCUACUCCUGAGUAGGUCGGGACACGACGAGCCUGACUGAAGCAGGGUGAACUCACACCCAAGGCUAAAUACACCUUGAGACCGAUAGUGAACCAGUACCGUGAGGGAAAGGUGAAAAGCACCCCGGGAGGGGGGUGAAAGAGACCUGAAACCGUAUGCCUACAAGUGGUCGGAGCUCGCUCUUUCGAGAGCGGGUGACGGCGUGCCUAUUGAAGAAUGAGCCGGCGAGUUUAUGGAUGUCCCUCGUCUAAGGGGUGAACCCCCGGAGGCAGAGCGAAAGCGAGUCCGAAAUGGGCGUCGCCGCCUUUGGCGGCAAGGGGUAUCCAUAAGACCCGAAACCGGGUGAGCUUGCCAUGGGCAGGGUGAGUCCCACCGAAAGGUGGGAGGAGGCCCGAACCGGUGGAUUGUGCAACAUCCUCGGAUGACCUGUGGUAAGGAGUGAAAAGCUAAUCGAACUCGGUAAUAGCUGGUUCUCUCCGAAACAGCUUUAGGGCUGGCCUCGCGUGUUUCCUUCUGGAGGUAGAGCACUGGAAGGAGUGAAUAGGGGGAAACCUCGUCACUCCUAUCAAACUCCGAAUGCCGGAAGGUUAAGAGCGCGGGAGUUAGGCCAUGGGGGCUAAGCUCCAUUGGCCAAGAGGGGAACAACCCAGACCGCCAGAUAAGGUCCCUAAGUCUAUGCUCAGUGCAAUACAAGGAGGUGGGGGAUCAGAGACAACCAGGAUGUUGGCUUAGAAGCAGCCAUCAUUGAAAGAAAGCGUAACAGCUCACUGGUCGAGAACCCCUGCGCCGAAGAUUCACAGGGGCUAAGCAUAGCACCGAAUCUGCGGAUCGCGCGCCCAGUGCGGGCGCGUGGUGGUAGGAGAGCGUUCCCAUCGCGUUGAAGGAGAAGGGCGACCGACUCUGGAGCGUUGGGAAGUGAGAAUGCCGGCGCGAGUAACCGCAACCCGGGUGAAACCCCCGGGGGCCGAAAUCCCAAGGUUUCCUUCGCCAUGGUGAUCAGCGAAGGGUUAGGCGGGCCUUAGCCGAUCCCGAAAGGGGGAGGUGAUGGACAGACGGUUAAUAUUCCGUCCCCUGGGUGUGGUGCGAUGGGGUGACGGGGGAAAUGAGCCAAGGCGCCUUAUCGGAUUGGCGUCGCUUGCGCGAGCGUGGGCACUUAGGCAAAUCCGGGUGCCACACACACGCGUGCGCCGGCGCAACGCGCCUUCGGGCGCGGAGCUUGGCGAAGAGCCCUCCAGGAAAAACCUCUCAGCUUCAACCACAUUCAGCCCGUACCGCAAACCGACACAGGUGGGAUGGUCGAGAAGACCAAGGCCAACAAGUGAUCGCUCCCCAAGGAACUCGGCAAACAAGCGGCCGUAACUUCGGGAUAUGGCCUCCCCGCUUUUGGGGCGACCCAAAGGUGGGGCGCAGCGAAAGAGUGCCUGGCGACUGUUUAUCAAAAACACAGCUCCCUGCGAACUCGUAAGAGGAGGUAUAGGGGGUGACGCCUGACCAAUGCCGGAAGGUUAAGUACUGCCUGUCCGUCCGCCUUCGGUGGACGGGCCGCGCGGUAUAAGCCCCGGUGAAUGUCGGUCCUAACUAUAGAAUCCCUGUAGUUGUAAAAUCUGGCUAUAUGCGGGGAACCCUGCGUAUCCGCCGCUACUCGCGCCGCCUCAUCCCCGGCGCAGUAACAACGCGAGCGGUGAUGCAGGCAAUCCGCAGGAAAGAUUCUGCAAAGAACGAGCGGCUUCGCGCCGCAACGGCGAGGUGGUUGACGAACCGCUUAUGCCGCGACGAAGACACAACGAUUGGCUCCAUCGUGUUCCUCUCGCCACGGGCUCGUAUCUUGCGGGCUUUGUGGAUGGGGAAGGGGGCUUUAUCGUCACCGUAAAACGCCGGCCUGACCACACGCUCGGCUGGCAGGUUGUGCCGGUGUUUGCUGUUGCGCAACGAGACAAGACGGUUCUCGCGCACAUCAAACGCUGGUUGGGAUGCGGAUCCAUCCGCCGUCGUCGCGACGGCGUGUGGGUUUACAGCGUCUCGAAUCCCACGAUGAUCGCACAAAGGGUUAUUCCGUUUUUCGAGCGUUUUCCCAUUCGUUCCCCUUCAAAACUGCGCAACUUUCAAGUGUUCGCGCGCAUUGUGAGGCGCCUCACGACAGCGCCGCCGCGAACGCCGAAAGAACUGCAAGAAAUUGUUGCCUUGCGUGAGAAAUUGAAUGAAGGGAGAGGGAGGAAACGCGCUUACACGCUGGAUGACCUUGCCGCGUUUUUUGCAGAAAAUCCUCAGAGACUCUACGCCAGAGCGGCUCCGCGCAGACAUUGUCUGCGGGGAGACGCAUGAUAGAGUCCGAUCUCCACAGCGAUGUGGAGGAUCCCGAUUGCUCGCGCGCGCGGCUACCAGCGGCGCGGGAAGGAGGGUGAUAACGAGAUGAAGGAUCCUAAGGUAGCGCAAUUCCUUGUCGGGUAAAUUCCGACGCGCACGAAUGGCGUAACGACUGGGCAACUGUCUCGGGGAGUCGCUUGGUGAAAACACAGUACCUGUGAAGAUGCAGGUUACCCACAGCAGGACAGAAAGACCCUAUGGAGCUUUACUGCAGCUUCGUAUUGGGGUUGUUGAACUGGUGCGCAGCAUAGGUGGGAGGCUUUGAAGCCGGGUCUCCGGGUCCGGUGGAGCCGCCAGUGAGAUACCACCCAUCAGUUUGGCAACUUCUAACCUUGGUGGCGACACCACUGAGGGACAGUGCGUGGCAGGCAGUUUUAGUGGGGCGCUACCCUCCUAAAAUGUAACGGAGGGGUCUCAAGGUCGGCUAGGCGCGGAUGGAAACCGUGCCGAUAGUGUAAGGGCACAAGCCGGCUUUACUGCGAGGCGUAGAUGCCGAGCAGUCGCGAAAGCGGAGCCUAGUGAGCCGCCGGUUGGCUUGAGAGGCCGCCGACGAUCACCCGAUAAAAGUUACCCUAGGGAUAACAGGCUGAGUGCCGCCCAAGCGUCCACAGCGACGGCGGCGUUCGGCACCUCGAUGUCGGCUCGUCUCAUCCUGGGGCUGUAGUCGGUCCCAAGGGUAUGGCUGUUCGCCAUUUAAAGUGGUACGCGAGCUGGGUUCAGAACGUCGUGAGACAGUUCGGUCCCUAUCUGUCGUGGGCGUUGGAGAUUUGAGAGGGGCUGCUCCUAGUACGAGAGGACCGGAGUGGACGAACCUCUGGUGUUCCGGUUGUCACGCCAGUGGCACUGCCGGGUAGCUAUGUUCGGAAGCGAUAACCGCUGAAAGCAUCUAAGCGGGAAGCGCGCCUCAAGAUGAGGUUUCACUUGAGGCCCGUGGGAGAUGACCACGUUGAUAGGCACCAGGUGCAAGCGCCGCGAGGCGUUCAGCCGAGGUGUACUAAUGCGCCGAGAGU